This 253-nucleotide ribosomal RNA is filed under the name uncultured bacterium. Its description in RNAcentral is "partial 16S ribosomal RNA". It matches the Rfam family "Bacterial small subunit ribosomal RNA", at positions 524 to 776 of the family's 1533-position model. The record is from RNAcentral.
UACGUAGGGGGCAAGCGUUAUCCGGAUUUACUGGGUGUAAAGGGAGCGUAGACGGCGAUGCAAGUCUGAAGUGAAAGGCGGGGGCCCAACCCCCGGACUGCUUUGGAAACUGUAUGGCUGGAGUGCAGGGGAGGUAAGUGGAAUUCCUAGUGUAGCGGUGAAAUGCGUAGAUAUUAGGAGGAACACCAGUGGCGAAGGCGGCUUACUGGACUGUAACUGACGUUGAGGCUCGAAAGCGUGGGGAGCAAACAGG